This is a long non-coding RNA of Sander lucioperca (pikeperch), 86 nucleotides long. RefSeq lists it as uncharacterized. NCBI's taxonomy places the organism in Eukaryota, Metazoa, Chordata, Actinopteri, Perciformes, Percidae. The transcript has 3 exons. The record is from RefSeq and is a predicted model, not a curated record.
AAAUAGGAUUGGGCAUCUAGAACCGGUUCCAACAUGGAAUCCUUUUUAAAAAUUACAAUCCCAAUGGAAUCAUUGUUUUAUUGACA